UACAGAGGGUGCGAGCGUUAAUCGGAAUUACUGGGCGUAAAGCGCACGUAGGUGGCGACGUAAGUCGGGUGUGAAAGCCCCGGGCUCAACCUGGGAAUUGCCUUUAAGACUGCAUCGCUAGAAUUGUGGAGAGGUAAGUGGAAUUCCGAGUGUAGAGGUGAAAUUCGUAGAUAUUCGGAAGAACACCAGUGGCGAAGGCGACUUACUGGACACAUAUUGACGCUGAGGUGCGAAAGCGUGGGGAGCAAACAGG
Molecule: ribosomal RNA, 253 nt
Filed under: uncultured bacterium
Lineage: Bacteria
Description: partial 16S ribosomal RNA
Rfam family: Bacterial small subunit ribosomal RNA
Source: RNAcentral